RNAcentral lists this unclassified non-coding RNA (266 nucleotides) under Hevea brasiliensis (rubber tree). The record is from RNAcentral. Lineage: Eukaryota; Viridiplantae; Streptophyta; Magnoliopsida; Malpighiales; Euphorbiaceae.
AUGGUGGAUAUGGGGUUAUUGGUUAUCACCAAUGAUUCAUGGGGAAAAUGCAAUAGUAGCCAAUGAGUUUCUUGGAAAAAGCUGGAGCCAUGUGAUAUUCUUGAACUUGCCAUUCUAUAUUUGUGUUUUUACCUCUAAGUAGCCAAGAUAUAUCUACAUUUUAAUGUAAAAAGUACAGAUUCCACCAUACUCAACAGAAUCGUUGGGAGUUCAGCUAUUGAAAAGUCGUGGUUUCUUCCCUCAUGCAUAUUGGUAUUGGUUAGGAG